UUUAGUAAACUUGCCACAUGUCAAAACCAAGUGGAAGUAUUUUUAAAAUUUGAAACCAAAUUAGGCUCCCUACCUCCAAUAUGCAACGCCUCUUUUUUUAUUAGUUUUUGUCCCAUUUUUAUUUUGUUUUUCUUUAUUAUUAUUUAUUUAUUUAUUAUUAUUUUUGUUAAAUUAUGAUUAACUAUAAUUAUUGGGUUGGGCCAAUGUAUGUUAAUGUUUGCACCAUGUCUGUUCAUUUCUACACCCAUUUUUUUC
This 255-nucleotide long non-coding RNA is filed under the name Lathyrus oleraceus (garden pea). Its description in RNAcentral is "Pisum sativum (pea) long non-coding RNA (PSAT_LNC011064)". The record is from RNAcentral. Lineage: Eukaryota; Viridiplantae; Streptophyta; Magnoliopsida; Fabales; Fabaceae.